Molecule: ribosomal RNA, 392 nt
Filed under: uncultured bacterium
Lineage: Bacteria
Description: partial 16S ribosomal RNA
Rfam family: Bacterial small subunit ribosomal RNA
Source: RNAcentral
AUACGUAGGGGGCAAGCGUUGUUCGGAAUCAUUGGGCGUAAAGGGCGCGCAGGCGGCCGUCCAAGUCCGGUGUUAAAUGGUCGGGCUCAACCCGAUCAUGCGCUGGAAACUGGGCGGCUUGAGUCCCGUAGGGGAUGCCGGAAUUCCAGGUGUAGGGGUGAAAUCUGUAGAUAUCUGGAAGAACACCGAUGGCGAAGGCAGGCAUCUGGCCGGAGACUGACGCUGAGGCGCGAAGGCGCGGGGAGCGAACAGGUUUAGAUACCCUGGUAGUCCGCGCAGUAAACGAUGCGCACCAGGUGUCGGGCGGCAGCGCCCGGUACCGGAGCUAACGCGAUGAGUGCGCCGCCUGGGGAGUAUGCCCGCAAGGGUGAAACUCAAAGGAAUUGACGGGG